UGGGGAAUUUUGGACAAUGGGCGAAAGCCUGAUCCAGCAAUGCCGCGUGUGUGAAGAAGGCCUUCGGGUUGUAAAGCACUUUUGUCCGGAAAGAAAUCCUUGGCUCUAAUACAGUCGGGGGAUGACGGUACCGGAAGAAUAAGCACCGGCUAACUACGUGCCAGCAGCCGCGGUAAUACGUAGGGUGCAAGCGUUAAUCGGAAUUACUGGGCGUAAAGCGUGCGCAGGCGGUUUGCUAAGACCGAUGUGAAAUCCCCGGGCUCAACCUGGGAACUGCAUUGGUGACUGGCAGGCUAGAGUAUGGCAGAGGGGGGUAGAAUUCCACGUGUAGCAGUGAAAUGCGUAGAGAUGUGGAGGAAUACCGAUGGCGAAGGCAGCCCCCUGGGCCAAUACUGACGCUCAUGUACGAAAGCGUGGGGAGCAAACAGGAUUAGAUACCCUGGUAGUCCACGCCCUAAACCGAUGUCAACUAGUUGUUGGGGAUUCAUUUCCUUAGUAACGUAGCUAACGCGUGAAGUUGACCGCCUGGGGAGUACGGUCGCAAGAUUAAAACUCAAAUGAAUUGACGGGGUCAUAGCUGUUUCCU
This 586-nucleotide ribosomal RNA is filed under the name uncultured bacterium. RNAcentral describes it as "partial 16S ribosomal RNA". It matches the Rfam family "Bacterial small subunit ribosomal RNA", at positions 355 to 1375 of the family's 1533-position model. The record is from RNAcentral.